This 2901-nucleotide ribosomal RNA is filed under the name Escherichia coli KO11FL. RNAcentral's name for it is "bacterial LSU rRNA". It matches the Rfam family "Bacterial large subunit ribosomal RNA". Lineage: Bacteria; Pseudomonadati; Pseudomonadota; Gammaproteobacteria; Enterobacterales; Enterobacteriaceae. The record is from RNAcentral.
UUAAGCGACUAAGCGUACACGGUGGAUGCCCUGGCAGUCAGAGGCGAUGAAGGACGUGCUAAUCUGCGAUAAGCGUCGGUAAGGUGAUAUGAACCGUUAUAACCGGCGAUUUCCGAAUGGGGAAACCCAGUGUGAUUCGUCACACUAUCAUUAACUGAAUCCAUAGGUUAAUGAGGCGAACCGGGGGAACUGAAACAUCUAAGUACCCCGAGGAAAAGAAAUCAACCGAGAUUCCCCCAGUAGCGGCGAGCGAACGGGGAGCAGCCCAGAGCCUGAAUCAGUGUGUGUGUUAGUGGAAGCGUCUGGAAAGGCGCGCGAUACAGGGUGACAGCCCCGUACACAAAAAUGCACAUACUGUGAGCUCGAUGAGUAGGGCGGGACACGUGGUAUCCUGUCUGAAUAUGGGGGGACCAUCCUCCAAGGCUAAAUACUCCUGACUGACCGAUAGUGAACCAGUACCGUGAGGGAAAGGCGAAAAGAACCCCGGCGAGGGGAGUGAAAAAGAACCUGAAACCGUGUACGUACAAGCAGUGGGAGCACGCUUAGGCGUGUGACUGCGUACCUUUUGUAUAAUGGGUCAGCGACUUAUAUUCUGUAGCAAGGUUAACCGAAUAGGGGAGCCGAAGGGAAACCGAGUCUUAACUGGGCGUUAAGUUGCAGGGUAUAGACCCGAAACCCGGUGAUCUAGCCAUGGGCAGGUUGAAGGUUGGGUAACACUAACUGGAGGACCGAACCGACUAAUGUUGAAAAAUUAGCGGAUGACUUGUGGCUGGGGGUGAAAGGCCAAUCAAACCGGGAGAUAGCUGGUUCUCCCCGAAAGCUAUUUAGGUAGCGCCUCGUGAAUUCAUCUCCGGGGGUAGAGCACUGUUUCGGCAAGGGGGUCAUCCCGACUUACCAACCCGAUGCAAACUGCGAAUACCGGAGAAUGUUAUCACGGGAGACACACGGCGGGUGCUAACGUCCGUCGUGAAGAGGGAAACAACCCAGACCGCCAGCUAAGGUCCCAAAGUCAUGGUUAAGUGGGAAACGAUGUGGGAAGGCCCAGACAGCCAGGAUGUUGGCUUAGAAGCAGCCAUCAUUUAAAGAAAGCGUAAUAGCUCACUGGUCGAGUCGGCCUGCGCGGAAGAUGUAACGGGGCUAAACCAUGCACCGAAGCUGCGGCAGCGACGCUGAUGCGUUGUUGGGUAGGGGAGCGUUCUGUAAGCCUGCGAAGGUGUGCUGUGAGGCAUGCUGGAGGUAUCAGAAGUGCGAAUGCUGACAUAAGUAACGAUAAAGCGGGUGAAAAGCCCGCUCGCCGGAAGACCAAGGGUUCCUGUCCAACGUUAAUCGGGGCAGGGUGAGUCGACCCCUAAGGCGAGGCCGAAAGGCGUAGUCGAUGGGAAACAGGUUAAUAUUCCUGUACUUGGUGUUACUGCGAAGGGGGGACGGAGAAGGCUAUGUUGGCCGGGCGACGGUUGUCCCGGUUUAAGCGUGUAGGCUGGUUUUCCAGGCAAAUCCGGAAAAUCAAGGCUGAGGCGUGAUGACGAGGCACUACGGUGCUGAAGCAACAAAUGCCCUGCUUCCAGGAAAAGCCUCUAAGCAUCAGGUAACAUCAAAUCGUACCCCAAACCGACACAGGUGGUCAGGUAGAGAAUACCAAGGCGCUUGAGAGAACUCGGGUGAAGGAACUAGGCAAAAUGGUGCCGUAACUUCGGGAGAAGGCACGCUGAUAUGUAGGUGAAGUCCCUCGCGGAUGGAGCUGAAAUCAGUCGAAGAUACCAGCUGGCUGCAACUGUUUAUUAAAACACAGCACUGUGCAAACACGAAAGUGGACGUAUACGGUGUGACGCCUGCCCGGUGCCGGAAGGUUAAUUGAUGGGGUCAGCGCAAGCGAAGCUCUUGAUCGAAGCCCCGGUAAACGGCGGCCGUAACUAUAACGGUCCUAAGGUAGCGAAAUUCCUUGUCGGGUAAGUUCCGACCUGCACGAAUGGCGUAAUGAUGGCCAGGCUGUCUCCACCCGAGACUCAGUGAAAUUGAACUCGCUGUGAAGAUGCAGUGUACCCGCGGCAAGACGGAAAGACCCCGUGAACCUUUACUAUAGCUUGACACUGAACAUUGAGCCUUGAUGUGUAGGAUAGGUGGGAGGCUUUGAAGUGUGGACGCCAGUCUGCAUGGAGCCGACCUUGAAAUACCACCCUUUAAUGUUUGAUGUUCUAACGUUGACCCGUGAUCCGGGUUGCGGACAGUGUCUGGUGGGUAGUUUGACUGGGGCGGUCUCCUCCUAAAGAGUAACGGAGGAGCACGAAGGUUGGCUAAUCCUGGUCGGACAUCAGGAGGUUAGUGCAAUGGCAUAAGCCAGCUUGACUGCGAGCGUGACGGCGCGAGCAGGUGCGAAAGCAGGUCAUAGUGAUCCGGUGGUUCUGAAUGGAAGGGCCAUCGCUCAACGGAUAAAAGGUACUCCGGGGAUAACAGGCUGAUACCGCCCAAGAGUUCAUAUCGACGGCGGUGUUUGGCACCUCGAUGUCGGCUCAUCACAUCCUGGGGCUGAAGUAGGUCCCAAGGGUAUGGCUGUUCGCCAUUUAAAGUGGUACGCGAGCUGGGUUUAGAACGUCGUGAGACAGUUCGGUCCCUAUCUGCCGUGGGCGCUGGAGAAUUGAGGGGGGCUGCUCCUAGUACGAGAGGACCGGAGUGGACGCAUCACUGGUGUUCGGGUUGUCAUGCCAAUGGCACUGCCCGGUAGCUAAAUGCGGAAGAGAUAAGUGCUGAAAGCAUCUAAGCACGAAACUUGCCCCGAGAUGAGUUCUCCCUGACUCCUUGAGAGUCCUGAAGGAACGUUGAAGACGACGACGUUGAUAGGCCGGGUGUGUAAGCGCAGCGAUGCGUUGAGCUAACCGGUACUAAUGAACCGUGAGGCUUAACCUU